GAUGAACGCUGGCGGCGUGCCUAAUACAUGCAAGUCGAGCGAACGGACGAGAAGCUUGCUUCUCUAAUGUUAGCGGCGGACGGGUGAGUAACACGUGGAUAACCUACCUAUAAGACUGGGAUAACUUCGGGAAACCGUAGCUAAUACCGGAUAAUAUUUUGAACCGCAUGGUUCAAAAGUGAAAGACGGUCUUGCUGUCACUUAUAGAUGGAUCCGCGCUGCAUUAGCUAGUUGGUAAGGUAACGGCUUACCAAGGCAACGAUGCAUAGCCGACCUGAGAGGGGGAUCGGCCACACUGGAACUGAGACACGGGCCAGACUCCUACGGGAGGCAGCAGUAGGGAAUCUUCCGCAAUGGGCGAAAGCCUGACGGAGCAACGCCGCGUGAGUGAUGAAGGUCUUCGGAUCGUAAAACUCUGUUAUUAGGGAAGAACAUAUGUGUAAGUAACUGUGCACAUCUUGACGGUACCUAAUCAGAAAGCCACGGCUAACUACGUG
This 497-nucleotide ribosomal RNA is filed under the name uncultured bacterium. Its description in RNAcentral is "partial 16S ribosomal RNA". It matches the Rfam family "Bacterial small subunit ribosomal RNA", at positions 28 to 507 of the family's 1533-position model. The record is from RNAcentral.